RNAcentral lists this long non-coding RNA (444 nucleotides) under Vigna radiata. RNAcentral's name for it is "long non-coding RNA (VRAD_LNC009855)". The record is from RNAcentral. Lineage: Eukaryota; Viridiplantae; Streptophyta; Magnoliopsida; Fabales; Fabaceae.
GAAGAGGAUAAACCCAAGUUUUGUUUUGUGUGUUAUUUUGUUUGCUUGAGGACAAGUGUUGACGGAUUGGAAAGCGUACCAAAUCGUUCAAGUAAUAUAAUUGGUAAAACCCAAUAACGUUCUUCCCAAGAGACUCGAAAGGGUUUCUCGUUCACGUGAAUUAAAAUAAUAAGACUUNAAAAUAAAAAUAAUUAAUUUGAUUUGAGAACAAAAAUAUUAACAUGCAAUAGAGAUUGAUUCAAUUGACAAAAGGAAAACAAUGGAUGUAUGGAGUUGUUGGGGGUUUACAAAUUCAUCUUAUCUACACUCUCUUAUUUACUCCUCUUGAAUUAUUAGUUUGAUUAAUUAAUUGUCAUGCAACUUUCUUAGCCUACCCUUAACCCGAUCCCUCGGCGAAAAGAGCCUAAUACUAAUUACUGGCUUGCUAUCCCUAGUCUCCCCUAG